Paralichthys olivaceus (Japanese flounder) is the source of this 1874-nucleotide RNA transcript. It is a transcript of the gene named heterogeneous nuclear ribonucleoprotein D0-like, with no coding region annotated. The record is from RefSeq and is a predicted model, not a curated record. NCBI's taxonomy places the organism in Eukaryota, Metazoa, Chordata, Actinopteri, Pleuronectiformes, Paralichthyidae.
CUGCAAAUCAGCCGCAAAUAACUGCCGCCGAAGAAGAGCGAGGCAACGAUUAAAAAAUUCGUCUAUAAAAAAAUUAAUCUUCAAAUUUGCAGCGAGUGACAACUGAUCUUUUCUCAAUGACACGAAUCUAGACUCAAUUUAGAGCAGCACUGCAGAGCGCUUCACUUAGUCAAACCUGCUAGCUUGCUCUGGUUAGCGUGUUUAUCAUACCAGCUAGCUUAGCCUCUCGCUAUCGUUAGCUCGUAAACUCAGCUUUCGUUGGGAAUUUCGACGCAGACUCAGUGACGCAGUGUAGCGACGGUGUCGUUUAUUAGUCAGGAACCCAAACAUGUCGGAUGACUAUGAAUUCAGCGACGACACGACCCUGAUGAGAAUGGAGGAGGACGGAGAGGCGAACAGCGACGACCCGAUGUCCGCGGCCGGGGACAGCGGCCUGAUGGGGGGCGAGGCCGAGGGAUCCAGAAUCGACGCCAGCAAGAACGAGGAGGAUGAAGGGAAGAUGUUCGUCGGGGGGCUCAGCUGGGACACGACCAAGAAGGACCUGAAAGAUUACUUCUCAAAGUUCGGGGAGGUCGUGGACUGCACCCUGAAGCUGGACCCCAUGACAGGGCGCUCGAGAGGUUUCGGCUUUGUGCUGUUCAAAGAACCAGAGAGUGUUGAUAAGGUCGUCUCACAGAAGGAACAUAAACUCAACGGGAAAGUCAUCGACCCCAAAAAAGCCAAGGCCAUGAAGAGCAAAGAGCCUGUGAAGAAGAUCUUUGUCGGCGGCCUCUCUCCGGACACUCCUGAAGAGAAAGUCAGAGAGUACUUUGAUGCCUUCGGAGAGGUGGAGUCAAUUGAACUUCCCAUGGAGAACAAAACAAACAAAAGGAGAGGCUUCUGCUUCAUCACGUUCAAAGAGGAGGAACCGGUUAAGUUGAUCAUGGAGAAAAAGUACCACAACAUUGGAUUAAGUAAGUGUGAGAUAAAGGUGGCGAUGUCUAAAGAGCAGUACCAGCAGCAGCAGUACUGGGGAGGCAGAGGUGGAUACUCCUCCAGGUCGCGAGGAAGAGGUGGUGGUCCCAAUCAAAACUGGAACCAGGGUUAUGGCAACUACUGGAAUCAAGGCUAUGGAAAUUAUGGCAACUACGGUUACGGUAAUCAAGGGUAUGGAGGAUAUGGUGGAUGUGAUUACUCUGGUUACAACAACUACUAUGGAUAUGGUGACUACGACAAUCAAUCUGGUGGAUAUGGCAAGUCGCCACGGCGCGUCGGUCACACCAACAGUUACAAGCCAUAUUAGUGGGGAAACCCCUCAUCGUCAAGUAGCGGAGCUUCCUUGCAGGCCAUGAGCUGACUCCCAGAUACUCUCAGGGCCCGCUCAAUGCGGACUGGGUACGAGAAGCAUACGCUCUCGAUUGCUGCCAUUUGGUCUCAGAGUGAUGAAAGUCUGCAGUGCACUGGCGGAGCAUUGGCCAAAGAGAUGAUGGUAUCCAGCAAAGGUCACUUAGCUGAUUGUAAGAAAGUAAAUGAAGAACACUAUGACCUACAUUACAUUUCCUCUAUAUAUUUACCAGAGUAUUUGUUGUAUCUUAAAAGUUUUGGAUUUUCAUGUUUUGCAUUCAUUUAGUUUGCUGCAAAGUUUGAGCAGUUCCUCGUUCCUUUUUGCUUUUGUAUUUAAUGUUGUCAAUUGCUAUUUGUGAAUUGCUUGAUUUAUCCCAUAACUGAAACUUUAGAUUGGUCGGAGCAGAUCACACAUAUAUUCACAUACAGUGGCAGCAGAGAUGCAUUGUUAUGCUAUUAUGUUAUGUUUAUCAUAGGCAUCAGUUAUAUAAUACAUUUAUUACAGUUUGACAGUCAUAAACAUACAGUAUAUAUAUAUACACAGUGUCUUG